ACUUUCGUGGUGUAGUGGUCAGCACACUCGGCACGUAUUCGAGAGAUCCCAGGUUCGAGUCCCGAUGAGAGCA
RNAcentral lists this transfer RNA (73 nucleotides) under Stegodyphus mimosarum. It matches the Rfam family "tRNA". Rfam says of the family: Transfer RNA (tRNA) molecules are approximately 80 nucleotides in length. Their secondary structure includes four short double-helical elements and three loops (D, anti-codon, and T loops). Further hydrogen bonds mediate the characteristic L-shaped molecular structure. tRNAs have two regions of fundamental functional importance: the anti-codon, which is responsible for specific mRNA codon recognition, and the 3' end, to which the tRNAs corresponding amino acid is attached (by aminoacyl-tRNA synthetases). tRNAs cope with the degeneracy of the genetic code in two manners: having more than one tRNA (with a specific anti-codon) for a particular amino acid; and 'wobble' base-pairing, i.e. permitting non-standard base-pairing at the 3rd anti-codon position. The record is from Rfam by way of RNAcentral. Lineage: Eukaryota; Metazoa; Arthropoda; Arachnida; Araneae; Eresidae.